GACGAACGCUGGCGGCGUGCUUAACACAUGCAAGUCGAGCGGUAAGGCCCUUUCGGGGGUACACGAGCGGCGAACGGGUGAGUAACACGUGGGUGACCUGCCCUCAGCUCUGGGAUAAGCCUGGGAAACCGGGUCUAAUACUGGAUAUGACUCCAUGACGCAUGUUGUGGGGUGGAAAGCCUUGUGCGGCUGAGGAUGGGCCCGCGGCCUAUCAGCUUGUUGGUGGGGUGANGGCCUACCAAGGCGACGACGGGUAGCCGGCCUGAGAGGGCGACCGGCCACACUGGGACUGGA
RNAcentral lists this ribosomal RNA (294 nucleotides) under uncultured bacterium. RNAcentral's name for it is "partial 16S ribosomal RNA". It matches the Rfam family "Bacterial small subunit ribosomal RNA", at positions 28 to 323 of the family's 1533-position model. The record is from RNAcentral.